CCUACGGGUGGCAGCAGUGGGGAAUAUUGGGCAAUGGGCGAAAGCCUGACCCAGCCACGCCGCGUGAGUGAUGAAGGCCUUCGGGUCGUAAAGCUCUGUGGGGAGGGACGAACAAGCCUUGGGCUAAUCACCAGGGCCCUGACGGUACCUCCUUAGCAAGCACCGGCUAACCCUGUGCCAGCAGCCGCGGUAAUACAGGGGGUGCAAACGUUGCUCGGAAUCAUUGGGCGUAAAGCGCACGUAGGCGGUCUGUUAUGUCGGAUGUGAAAGCCCUUGGCUCAACUGAGGAAGUGCAUCCGAAACUGGCAGGCUAGAGUACUAAAGAGGGUCGCGGAAUUCCCGGUGUAGAGGUGAAAUUCGUAGAUAUCGGGAGGAACACCGGUGGCGAAGGCGGCGACCUGGGUAGAUACUGACGCUGAGGUGCGAAAGCGUGGGGAGCA
RNAcentral lists this ribosomal RNA (440 nucleotides) under uncultured bacterium. RNAcentral describes it as "bacterial SSU rRNA". It matches the Rfam family "Bacterial small subunit ribosomal RNA", at positions 338 to 770 of the family's 1533-position model. The record is from RNAcentral.